RNAcentral lists this ribosomal RNA (403 nucleotides) under uncultured bacterium. RNAcentral's name for it is "bacterial SSU rRNA". It matches the Rfam family "Bacterial small subunit ribosomal RNA", at positions 355 to 775 of the family's 1533-position model. The record is from RNAcentral.
UAGGGAAUAUUAGUAAUGGGCGAAAGCCUGAACUAGCAACGCCGCGUGCGCGAAGAAGGCCUUCGGGUUGUAAAGCACUUUUUGAGAGGAUGAGGAAGGACGGUACUCUCAGAAUAAGUCUCGGCUAACUACGUGCCAGCAGCCGCGGUAACACGUAGGAGGCAAACGUUAUCCGGAUUUACUGGGCGUAAAGCGCUUGUAGGUGGUUUGGUAAGUAGGGCGUGAAAGCUCCUGGCUCAACUGGGAGAGGCCGUUCUAAACUGCCGAACUAGAGGAUGGUAGAGGGAGGUGGAAUUCCGGGUGUAGCGGUGGAAUGCGCAGAUAUCCGGAGGAACACCAGUGGCGAAAGCGGCCUCCUGGACCAUUCCUGACACUCAGACGCGAAAGCUAGGGUAGCAAACGG